Microcebus murinus (gray mouse lemur) is the source of this 1227-nucleotide non-coding RNA. Lineage: Eukaryota; Metazoa; Chordata; Mammalia; Primates; Cheirogaleidae. The record is from RefSeq and is a predicted model, not a curated record.
GCAGAGCCAAGGCCCGUUGGGCUGCCCUCUGGUGGCAGAGCUGGGGACUCCCGCACACCCUCCGGGAGCUGGGGGUUGGUGAAGAAAUCCCCUGAAGUCCCAUCCCAAGGUCACACCGAGACAGAUGGCAGAGUAGGACAAGAGCCCAGGUCACAGUCUGACGGUCUCACCACGCUCUCCUGCCUGCCCCGUCGCAGGGGCUGAGAUUGCUGCGAAAGAGAAGGCUUGUCUGGGGACGGGACUGAUGACCGCCUUUGAGCACAUUGGAGAAAAAAACUUAGGAGACGCAGGGCUCCUAGAGGGCAGGGAGGACUGAAGUUGCUUCCUGGGACUGGCAGCAGGACCCAGCACCCCACACAGCGGGUGCUCAGAGAAUACCGUCGUGCGGCAAACAGAUGAACGAAUGAGUGGUUUGGAGUUUCCCUGCCUGGAGAGCAUCAAAGCAGGACAGAUGCUACCUGUUCUGUCUCGUCCAAGACCUCAUUCCUGCCCAAAGGCUGAGGGCUGUGCCAGAUGCUUUCUCAAGGCAACUCAGCUUCUAUAAUUAGGGUUUACCAUGAUACUAGUUCUAGGUUCUUUCUUUUCACUGGCCAAACAUUUAUUCACUAUCUGCCAUGCCCCAGGUACUAGGCUAUUGUUCUGCAUGUCUUUGACCCUAUUCUAGUAUUUAAUUCCAUGAAGUGAGAUGUGAAGGUGCUCCUGUCACAGUCACUGCUGGGCGAGGUCAGCCAAGGCAGGCGGAGAGGAAUGGGCCUUGUCUGAGCCGAAUGAAAGUUGGCACCGUGGGUUUCCCUGUCUGCCGCUCCAUGCCAUCCCGGCCCACUCAGUCUCCUCCCCAGGUGCCAAUACCCACUGCCUGUUAGUAGGUACUAGAAUCUCCAGGGACCUCGUGCCUCCCCCUUCCCUCUUACUCACUACCUGUUGUGCUGGACGGGAAGAACUGAUGUGGAGCCAGGCAGCCCUGCAUCCAGCCCUGACUUUGGCACUUGUGACAUGUCCUGGACUGCUACCUAAUCUCAUUGGCGUGGGGGAUUCAGACCUUCCUCCCGCCGCACAGCCCGCGCAGUUCUGCCGAGAAGAGAGUUUCAGAAGGACCUUCCCUGGUUUCUCCCCAGCCCCGUGCGUCCAGCAGGGUCUUUUGUCCAGGUUAUAGACCCUUUACUCCCACCAUUUCAAUCUACUCUCUGUCGACCACAUUUGCCAUUCAUUAAAGAAUUCACCCACUCA